GCAGAACUUGAGGCCUCCCUGGAAUAUCCUCAACCUCCCUUCUGUGACCCCCACCCCUAAGAGAAACAGCAGAACACUGGAGUGCACUGCAUGUUACAAGACUGGUGGCCACAUCACCCACGUGGGCACCCGCCCACACCCCACAGUUUGAGAACCUGCUCUGAAAAACGGCCGCUUGGUAAAUAUUUGUUGAAUUACUGAAUUCCAGCUACAGCUCCCCAAGCAAGCCUGGGCCUGCAGCCCGCGAUGCCAGGGCGCUCAAGCCAAGUGUACAGUAUUCUGUGG
Long non-coding RNA from Lagenorhynchus albirostris (white-beaked dolphin), 285 nucleotides. RefSeq lists it as uncharacterized. The record is from RefSeq and is a predicted model, not a curated record. NCBI's taxonomy places the organism in Eukaryota, Metazoa, Chordata, Mammalia, Artiodactyla, Delphinidae. The transcript has 3 exons.